GGCACUUUUUGCCUACGGGAGGCAGCAGUAGGGAAUCUUGUGCAAUGGGACGAAAGUCUGACGGAGCAACGCCGCGUGAGCGAAGAAGGUCUUCGGAUCGUAAAGCUCUGUUGUUAGGGAAGAACAAGUAUCGGAGUAACUGCCGGUACCUUGACGGUACCUUUCGAGGAAGCUACGCGCUAACUACGUGCCAGCAGCCGCGGUAAU
This 207-nucleotide ribosomal RNA is filed under the name uncultured Bacillus sp. RNAcentral's name for it is "partial 16S ribosomal RNA". It matches the Rfam family "Bacterial small subunit ribosomal RNA", at positions 327 to 524 of the family's 1533-position model. Lineage: Bacteria; Bacillati; Bacillota; Bacilli; Caryophanales; Bacillaceae. The record is from RNAcentral.